This 719-nucleotide ribosomal RNA is filed under the name uncultured bacterium. RNAcentral's name for it is "bacterial SSU rRNA". It matches the Rfam family "Bacterial small subunit ribosomal RNA", at positions 772 to 1491 of the family's 1533-position model. The record is from RNAcentral.
ACAGGAUUAGAUACCCUGGUAGUCCACGCCGUAAACGAUGUCGACUUGGAGGCUGUUCCCUUGAGGAGUGGCUUCCGGAGCUAACGCGUUAAGUCGACCGCCUGGGGAGUACGGCCGCAAGGUUAAAACUCAAAUGAAUUGACGGGGGCCCGCACAAGCGGUGGAGCAUGUGGUUUAAUUCGAUGCAACGCGAAGAACCUUACCUGGCCUUGACAUCCACGGAACUUGGCAGAGAUGCCUUGGUGCCUUCGGGAACCGUGAGACAGGUGCUGCAUGGCUGUCGUCAGCUCGUGUUGUGAAAUGUUGGGUUAAGUCCCGCAACGAGCGCAACCCUUAUCCUUUGUUGCCAGCGAUUCGGUCGGGAACUCAAAGGAGACUGCCGGUGAUAAACCGGAGGAAGGUGGGGAUGACGUCAAGUCAUCAUGGCCCUUACGGCCAGGGCUACACACGUGCUACAAUGGCGCAUACAAAGAGAAGCGACCUCGCGAGAGCAAGCGGACCUCAUAAAGUGCGUCGUAGUCCGGAUCGGAGUCUGCAACUCGACUCCGUGAAGUCGGAAUCGCUAGUAAUCGUGGAUCAGAACGCCACGGUGAAUACGUUCCCGGGCCUUGUACACACCGCCCGUCACACCAUGGGAGUGGGUUGCAAAAGAAGUAGGUAGCUUAACCUUCGGGAGGGCGCUUACCACUUUGUGAUUCAUGACUGGGGUGAAGUCGUAA